CCCUUAGACGCUCUGGGCUGCACGCGUGCUACAAUGGCGCCUGCAACAAGUCUUGCCAACCCGAUAGGGUGAGCGGAUCUUUGAAGAGGCGUCGUGAUCGGGACAGUUGAUUGCAAUUAUUCGACUCGAACGAGGAAUUCCUUGUAAUCGCGAUUCAUCAUAUCGCGCUGAAUACGUCCCUGCCCUUUGUACACACCGCCCGUCGCUCCUACCGAUUGAGCGAUCCGGUGAAUGUUUUGGACUGGCGUCAGAAGCGGUUCGCUCCUGACACUACGAAAUUUUGUAAACCUUAUCGCUUAGAGGAAGGAAAAGUCGUAACA
Molecule: ribosomal RNA, 320 nt
Filed under: uncultured eukaryote
Lineage: Eukaryota
Description: partial 18S ribosomal RNA
Rfam family: Eukaryotic small subunit ribosomal RNA
Source: RNAcentral